GACAUUAGCUUGCCAUUUCAACAAAUGAAAAUGCCCCUCACUCAUAUAAUAGAAGGAUAAGGAAGAAAAAAGAAUAAGGAGAAAGGAGAGGUGGGGGAAGAAAGAAUCAUCAGUAAGGAAGGGGCAGAUGUGGAGGGAGCUACUAUGGAGGGAGGGCAGGGUCACGAAGGUCGGCAUGGAGGAGGAUGACGACAUCAAUUUGCCUCAUGAGUA
This 213-nucleotide long non-coding RNA is filed under the name Elaeis guineensis (African oil palm). RNAcentral describes it as "long non-coding RNA (EGUI_LNC032020)". The record is from RNAcentral. Lineage: Eukaryota; Viridiplantae; Streptophyta; Magnoliopsida; Arecales; Arecaceae.